Molecule: ribosomal RNA, 490 nt
Filed under: Salmonella enterica
Lineage: Bacteria; Pseudomonadati; Pseudomonadota; Gammaproteobacteria; Enterobacterales; Enterobacteriaceae
Also listed under: 1 other name
Description: partial 23S ribosomal RNA
Rfam family: Bacterial large subunit ribosomal RNA
Source: RNAcentral
CCGAACCGACUAAUGUUGAAAAAUUAGCGGAUGACCUGUGGCUGGGGGUGAAAGGCCAAUCAAACCGGGAGAUAGCUGGUUCUCCCCGAAAGCUAUUUAGGUAGCGCCUCGUGAAUUCAUCUCCGGGGGUAGAGCACUGUUUCGGCUAGGGGGCCAUCCCGGCUUACCAACCCGAUGCAAACUGCGAAUACCGGAGAAUGUUAUCACGGGAGACACACGGCGGGUGCUAACGUCCGUCGUGAAGAGGGAAACAACCCAGACCGCCAGCUAAGGUCCCAAAGUCAUGGUUAAGUGGGAAACGAUGUGGGAAGGCCCAGACAGCCAGGAUGUUGGCUUAGAAGCAGCCAUCAUUUAAAGAAAGCGUAAUAGCUCACUGGUCGAGUCGGCCUGCGCGGAAGAUGUAACGGGGCUAAACCAUGCACCGAAGCUGCGGCAGCGACACUGUGUGUUGUUGGGUAGGGGAGCGUUCUGUAAGCCUGUGAAGGUGUGU